RNAcentral lists this ribosomal RNA (253 nucleotides) under uncultured bacterium. RNAcentral describes it as "partial 16S ribosomal RNA". It matches the Rfam family "Bacterial small subunit ribosomal RNA", at positions 524 to 776 of the family's 1533-position model. The record is from RNAcentral.
CACGUAGGGCGCAAGCGUUGUCCGGAAUUAUUGGGCGUAAAGAGCUCGUAGGCGGUCUGUUGCGUCCGCUGUGAAAACCCGGGGCUUAACCCCGGGCGUGCAGUGGAUACGGGCCGGCUGGAGGCAGGCAGGGGAGAAUGGAAUUCCCGGUGUAGCGGUGAAAUGCGCAGAUAUCGGGAGGAACACCGGUGGCGAAGGCGGUUCUCUGGGCCUGUACUGACGCUGAGGAGCGAAAGCGUGGGGAGCGAACAGG